Molecule: ribosomal RNA, 202 nt
Filed under: uncultured bacterium
Lineage: Bacteria
Description: partial 16S ribosomal RNA
Rfam family: Bacterial small subunit ribosomal RNA
Source: RNAcentral
ACGCUCGACACCUACGGGGGCAGCAGUGGGGAAUAUUGGGCAAUGGGCGCAAGCCUGACCCAGCAACGCCGCGUGAAGGAAGAAGGCCCUCGGGUUGUAAACUUCUUUUGUCAGGGACGAAGCAAGUGACGGUACCUGACGAAUAAGCCACGGCUAACUACGUGCCAGCAGCCGGCGGUAAUCUGAGGCGGGCUGGCAAGGC